This 247-nucleotide ribosomal RNA is filed under the name uncultured Lactobacillus sp. Its description in RNAcentral is "partial 16S ribosomal RNA". It matches the Rfam family "Bacterial small subunit ribosomal RNA", at positions 116 to 355 of the family's 1533-position model. Lineage: Bacteria; Bacillati; Bacillota; Bacilli; Lactobacillales; Lactobacillaceae. The record is from RNAcentral.
CGUGGGUAACCUGCCCAAGAGAUCGGGAUAACACCUGGAAACAGAUGCUAAUACCGGAUAACAACGGAUGAUGCCUAUCAACUGUUUAAAAGAUGGUUCUGCUAUCACUCUUUGGAUGGACCUGCGGUGCAUUAGCUAGUUGGUAGGGUAACGGCCUACCAAGGCGAUGAUGCAUAGCCGAGUUGAGAGACUGAUCGGCCACAUUGGGACUGAGACACGGCCCAAACUCCUACGGGAGGCAGCAGUC